CAUGAGUCAGCUCAUGAAAUUUAGCCUCUCAGCUACUUCAGUCUGCUUGGCACACAUGGAAUUUAACAUUUUACUGUCCCCAUGCCAUUGCAUUCCUAUAUAAAUUAUUCAAAAACAGUAUCACUUUGAUUAAUUAGAACUUUAAUGGAUUUUUAAAUUAAAGACAACCUUGAUUGGAAAAAAUAAAUCAUCUCUGUCACAGAAUGAGGAACUGAGUGUACACCAUAUUAGGCCAUGUCGCAGAAGGGCCACUGCAUUUGCUGAUACUUCUCACACGCUCCUGUCUUAACACUCAGGCUGCUGUCUUCAGAUGCUAUUAAUUGGGGGGGGGGGGGGGGUCAUCACCCUUAAUUCCUAGAUUCAUUUUCCUUGUAAAUCCCCAACCUUGGAUUAAUCCACCCAAAUUGUCUGAUAAGUAGGUUUCUUAGUCUGGCGAAUAGUAGAACACCAUCAGUCUGGGAUUAGUGUCACUAUUAGGUCAUAGUCUCCAAGCUCAGCUGGGCUCAGACACUAUUAUGACAUCAUUUUACAUGAGACUGCUUAGACCUAUUUCCACCUGCACAAUGGCUAAUCUAAACCCACAUUUCUAUUUCUUGGGAUACAGCCAGGUCCCAGAUUUGCUGAGAAAAGUUAAGACUAUCAGUAUUAUUUUCCUAAACUGUUCCCAUUUUUAAAUGUUAUCUAUCUGUAUGUGUGCAUUUCCACUCUCUUUCCUUCAGCUUCUUGAGAAGAGCCGUAUCAUUUUUAAGUCCAGGUGUAUCUUUUCCCUGGGCUCCAGCCCUGGGAACUCACCACAAGAUUUCAAACCCAGGUUAUACUCUGCCUCAAUUAAUGCAUACUGUUACCAUAGCAGAACUGAGUAUCAGAGAAUAAGGACCCGAUUUGCUGAUCAACAAAACUAAGUUCAAACUGGCUUUGGCAAUUACUUUUUAAAUGACCUUGGACAAAUUACCUAACUGGAAAGGGUAUCAUUUUAUCAUUUUAUUUAUUUA
RNAcentral lists this long non-coding RNA (992 nucleotides) under Vulpes vulpes (red fox). RNAcentral describes it as "lncRNA (ENSVVUG00000016404.1)". The record is from RNAcentral. Lineage: Eukaryota; Metazoa; Chordata; Mammalia; Carnivora; Canidae.